CAGCGUUAAUGUGCGAGUGGGGAACGGGGGAGUAACACCUGGGCAAACUGCCCAAAAGAGGGGGAUAACACUUGCGAAACAGGUGCUAAUACCGCAUCAACCGGCUGACCGCAUGGUCGGCCCGGGCAAAGACGAGGGUCUUCUGCUCUCUUUUGGAUGAGCCCCCGGCGUAUUAACUAGUUGGUAAGGUAACGGCUUACCAAGGUGAUGAUACGUAGCCGAACAGAUAAGAUGAUCAGCCACCUUGUUGACUGAGACACCGCCCACCACUCCUACUGGAGGAAGCAGUAGGGAAUCUUCCUCAAUGGACGCAAAUCUGAUGGAGCAACGCCGCGUGUAUGAAGAAGGUCGUCGGAUCGUAAAAUACUGUUGUCAGAGAAGAACACGUGAUAUAAUAACUGCUAUGACGCUGACGGUAUCUGACCACCAAGUCACGGCUAACUACGUGCGCCAGCCGCGGAAUACGUAGGUGGCAAGCGUUGUCCGGAUUUUUGGGCGUAAAGGGAACGCAGGC
This 514-nucleotide ribosomal RNA is filed under the name Ligilactobacillus acidipiscis. RNAcentral's name for it is "bacterial SSU rRNA". It matches the Rfam family "Bacterial small subunit ribosomal RNA", at positions 79 to 576 of the family's 1533-position model. The record is from RNAcentral. Lineage: Bacteria; Bacillati; Bacillota; Bacilli; Lactobacillales; Lactobacillaceae.